AGAGUUUGAUCCUGGCUCAGAACGAACGCUGGCGGCAGGCCUAACACAUGCAAGUCGAACGCUGUAGCAAUACAGAGUGGCAGACGGGUGAGUAACGCGUGGGAACCUUCCCAGUGGUACGGAAUAGCUCAGGGAAACUUGAGGUAAUACCGUAUAAGCCCCUAGGGGGAAAGAUUUAUCGCCAUUGGAUGGGCCCGCGUCGGAUUAGCUAGUUGGUGAGGUAAUGGCUCACCAAGGCGACGAUCCGUAGCUGGUUUGAGAGAAUGACCAGCCACACUGGGACUGAGACACGGCCCAGACUCCUACGGGAGGCAGCAGUGGGGAAUAUUGGACAAUGGGCGAAAGCCUGAUCCAGCCAUGCCGCGUGAGUGACGAAGGCCUUAGGG
Molecule: ribosomal RNA, 386 nt
Filed under: uncultured Alphaproteobacteria bacterium
Lineage: Bacteria; Pseudomonadati; Pseudomonadota; Alphaproteobacteria
Description: bacterial SSU rRNA
Rfam family: Bacterial small subunit ribosomal RNA
Source: RNAcentral